CCUACGGGAGGCAGCAGUGGGGCAUAUUGCACAAUGGGGGAAACCCUGAUGCAGCGACGCCGCGUGAGUGAAGAAGUAUCUCGGUACGUAAAGCUCUAUCAGCAGGGCAGAAAAUUACGGUACCUGACUAAUCAGCCCCGGCUAACUACGUUCCAGCAGCCGCGGUAAUACGUAGGGGGCAAGCGUUAUCCGGAUUUACUGGGUGUAACGGGAGCGUAGACGGCAGCACAAGUCUGGAGUGAAAUCCCGGGGCUUAACCCCGGAACUGCUUUGGAAACUGUGCGGCUGGAGUGCAGGAGGGGUAAGCGGAAUUCCUAGUGUAGCGGUGAAAUGCGUAGAUAUUAGGAGGAACACCGGUGGCGAAGGCGGCUUACUGGACUGUAACUGACGUUGAGGCUCGAAAGCGUGGGGAGCAAACAGGAUUAGAUACCCGUGUAGUC
RNAcentral lists this ribosomal RNA (440 nucleotides) under uncultured bacterium. RNAcentral describes it as "partial 16S ribosomal RNA". It matches the Rfam family "Bacterial small subunit ribosomal RNA", at positions 338 to 795 of the family's 1533-position model. The record is from RNAcentral.